Molecule: ribosomal RNA, 613 nt
Filed under: uncultured bacterium
Lineage: Bacteria
Description: bacterial SSU rRNA
Rfam family: Bacterial small subunit ribosomal RNA
Source: RNAcentral
CGGCGAGCUUAAACCUGCUCCUCGAACGAAGUGGCGGACGGGUGAGUAACGCGUGGGUAACCUGCCUCAUACAGGGGGAUAACAGUUGGAAACGACUGCUAAUACCGCAUAGUAUGGGAUGGACCCGCGUCUGAUUAGCCAGUUGGCAGGGUAACGGCCUACCAAAGCGACGAUCAGUAGCCGACCUGAGAGGGUGACCGGCCACAUUGGGACUGAGACACGGCCCAAACUCCUACGGGAGGCAGCAGUGGGGAAUAUUGCACAAUGGGGGAAACCCUGAUGCAGCGACGCCGCGUGAGCGAAGAAGUAUUUCGGUAUGUAAAGCUCUAUCAGCAGGGAAGCGGUACCUGACUAAGAAGCACCGGCUAAAUACGUGCCAGCAGCCGCGGUAAUACGUAUGGUGCAAGCGUUAUCCGGAUUUACUGGGUGUAAAGGGAGCGCAGGCGGUGCGGCAAGUCUGAUGUGAAAGCCCGGGGCUCAACCCCGGUACUGCAUUGGAAACUGUCGUACUAGAGUGUCGGAGGGGUAAGUGGAAUUCCUAGUGUAGCGGUGAAAUGCGUAGAUAUUAGGAGGAACACCAGUGCCGAAGGCGGCUUACUGGACGAUAACUGAC